RNAcentral lists this ribosomal RNA (411 nucleotides) under uncultured bacterium. RNAcentral's name for it is "bacterial SSU rRNA". It matches the Rfam family "Bacterial small subunit ribosomal RNA", at positions 505 to 916 of the family's 1533-position model. The record is from RNAcentral.
GUGUCAGCCGCCGCGGUAAUACGGAGGGGGCUAGCGUUGUUCGGAAUUACUGGGCGUAAAGCGUACGUAGGCGGAUCAGAAAGUAUGGGGUGAAAUCCCAGGGCUUAACCCUGGAACUGCCUCAUAAACUCCUGGUCUUGAGUUCGAGAGAGGUGAGUGGAAUUCCAAGUGUAGAGGUGAAAUUCGUAGAUAUUUGGAGGAACACCAGUGGCGAAGGCGGCUCACUGGCUCGAUACUGACGCUGAGGUACGAAAGUGUGGGGAGCAAACAGGAUUAGAUACCCUGGUAGUCCACACCGUAAACGAUGAAUGCCAGUCGUCGGGCAGUAUACUGUUCGGUGACACACCUAACGGAUUAAGCAUUCCGCCUGGGGAGUACGGUCGCAAGAUUAAAACUUAAAGAAAUUGACGG